CGACGCGGAUUACGGUGGC
This 19-nucleotide small RNA is filed under the name Arabidopsis thaliana (thale cress). RNAcentral describes it as "Ath_wt_17251". The record is from RNAcentral. Lineage: Eukaryota; Viridiplantae; Streptophyta; Magnoliopsida; Brassicales; Brassicaceae.